AUUGAACGCUGGCGGCAGGCCUAACACAUGCAAGUCGAGCGGUUGAAGGGAGCUUGCUCCUGGAUUCAGCGGCGGACGGGUGAGUAAUGCCUAGGAAUCUGCCUGGUAGUGGGGGAUAACGUCCGUAAACGGGCGCUAAUACCGCAUACGUCCUGAGUGAGUAAGUGGGGGAUCUUCGGACCUCACGCUAUCUGAUGAGCCUAGGUCGGAUUAGCUAGUUGGUGGGGUAAAGGCCUACCAAGGCGACGAUCCGUAACUGGUCUGAGAGGAUGAUCAGUAAAACUGGAACUGAGACACGGUCCAGACUCCUACGGGAGGCGCCAGUGGGGAAUAUUGGACAAUGGGCGAAAGCCUGAUCCAGACAUGCCGCGUGGGUGAAGAAGGUCUUCGGAUUGUAAAGCACUUUAAGUUGGGAGGAAGGGCAGUAAGUUAAUAACUUGCUGUUUUGACGUUACCAACAGAAUAAGCACCGGCUAACUUCGUG
This 484-nucleotide ribosomal RNA is filed under the name uncultured bacterium. RNAcentral's name for it is "partial 16S ribosomal RNA". It matches the Rfam family "Bacterial small subunit ribosomal RNA", at positions 30 to 507 of the family's 1533-position model. The record is from RNAcentral.